UAAAUUUGAAGUAAAAUUACU
Molecule: non-coding RNA, 21 nt
Filed under: Caenorhabditis elegans
Lineage: Eukaryota; Metazoa; Nematoda; Chromadorea; Rhabditida; Rhabditidae
Source: RNAcentral